GACGAACGCUGGCGGCGUGCUUAACACAUGCAAGUCGAACGGAAAGGCCCUGCUUCUGUGGGGUGCUCGAGUGGCGAACGGGUGAGUAACACGUGAGUAACCUGCCCUUGACUUUGGGAUAACUUCAGGAAACUGGGGCUAAUACCGGAUAGGAGCUCCUGCUGCAUGGUGGGGGUUGGAAAGUUUCGGCGGUUGGGGAUGGACUCGCGGCUCCUCAGCUUGUUGGUGGGGUAGUGGCUUACCAAGGCUUUGACGGGUAGCCGGCCUGAGAGGGGGACCGGCCACAUUGGGACUGAGAUACGGCCCAGACUCCUACGGGAGGCAGCAGUGGGGAAUAUUGCACGAUGGGCGGAAGCCUGAUGCGGCAACGCCGCGUGCGGGAUGACGGCCUUCGGGUUGUAAACCGCUUUCGCCUGUGACGAAGCGUGAGUGACGGUAAUGGGUAAAGAAGCACCGGCUAACUACGUG
RNAcentral lists this ribosomal RNA (468 nucleotides) under uncultured bacterium. RNAcentral's name for it is "partial 16S ribosomal RNA". It matches the Rfam family "Bacterial small subunit ribosomal RNA", at positions 28 to 507 of the family's 1533-position model. The record is from RNAcentral.